This 253-nucleotide ribosomal RNA is filed under the name uncultured bacterium. RNAcentral describes it as "partial 16S ribosomal RNA". It matches the Rfam family "Bacterial small subunit ribosomal RNA", at positions 524 to 776 of the family's 1533-position model. The record is from RNAcentral.
UACGGAGGGUGCAAGCGUUAUCCGGAUUCACUGGGUUUAAAGGGUGCGUAGGCGGGCAGGUAAGUCCGUGGUGAAAUCUCUGAGCUUAACUCAGAAACUGCCAUGGAUACUAUUUGUCUUGAAUGUUGUGGAGGUAAGCGGAAUAUGUCAUGUAGCGGUGAAAUGCUUAGAUAUGACAUAGAACACCAAUUGCGAAGGCAGCUUACUACACAAAUAUUGACGCUGAGGCACGAAAGCGUGGGGAUUAAACAGG